AUACGGAGGGUGCAAGCGUUACUCGGAAUCACUGGGCGUAAAGCGCGCGCAGGCGGCUUGAUAAGUUGGAUGUGAAAGCCUACGGCUCAACCGUAGAACUGCAUCCAAAACUGUCAAGCUAGAGUCUGGGAGGGGAAGAUGGAAUUAGUUGUGUAGGGGUAAAAUCCGUAGAGAUAACUAGGAAUACCAUAAGCGAAGGCGAUCUUCUGGAACAGUACUGACGCUGAGGCGCGAAAGCGUGGGGAGCAAACAGGAUUAGAAACCCGAGUAGUCC
This 274-nucleotide ribosomal RNA is filed under the name uncultured bacterium. Its description in RNAcentral is "partial 16S ribosomal RNA". It matches the Rfam family "Bacterial small subunit ribosomal RNA", at positions 523 to 796 of the family's 1533-position model. The record is from RNAcentral.